This is a long non-coding RNA of Homalodisca vitripennis (glassy-winged sharpshooter), 300 nucleotides long. RefSeq lists it as uncharacterized. NCBI's taxonomy places the organism in Eukaryota, Metazoa, Arthropoda, Insecta, Hemiptera, Cicadellidae. The transcript has 3 exons. The record is from RefSeq and is a predicted model, not a curated record.
AAUCAUCACGAAUACUGGGCCAAGAAGACCACACCACUGUAUAUAAAAUCAGGUAGAUAUUAAUCGGAUGGAAAAUCCAAAAUCCGAAAUUCCUCCUGAAACACUCAAAAAAUUAUUUAUAGAACAAAUAAAUGAGGAAUUUUCAGACUACAUAAAAAUUUACACAGAUGGAUCGAGAAACGCAGAGGGUUCUGGAGCAGCUGUAUUAUUACAAGGGUCUGAAUCCUUUUCGGAGUAGAAAGUCGCCUGGAGGACCUCAGGCGUGAAGAAAGUCUGAUCAGUGGGCCCCAACCAUUUCCA